This 2902-nucleotide ribosomal RNA is filed under the name Klebsiella quasipneumoniae subsp. similipneumoniae. Its description in RNAcentral is "23S ribosomal RNA". It matches the Rfam family "Bacterial large subunit ribosomal RNA". Lineage: Bacteria; Pseudomonadati; Pseudomonadota; Gammaproteobacteria; Enterobacterales; Enterobacteriaceae. The record is from RNAcentral.
GGUUAAGCGACUAAGCGUACACGGUGGAUGCCCUGGCAGUCAGAGGCGAUGAAGGACGUGCUAAUCUGCGAAAAGCGUCGGUAAGGUGAUAUGAACCGUUAUAACCGGCGAUGUCCGAAUGGGGAAACCCAGUGCAAUUCGUUGCACUAUCGUUAACUGAAUACAUAGGUUAACGAGGCGAACCGGGGGAACUGAAACAUCUAAGUACCCCGAGGAAAAGAAAUCAACCGAGAUUCCCCCAGUAGCGGCGAGCGAACGGGGAGCAGCCCAGAGUCUGAAUCAGCUUGUGUGUUAGUGGAACGGUCUGGAAAGUCCGACGGUACAGGGUGAUAGUCCCGUACACCAAAAUGCACAGGCUGUGAACUCGAAGAGUAGGGCGGGACACGUGGUAUCCUGUCUGAAUAUGGGGGGACCAUCCUCCAAGGCUAAAUACUCCUGACUGACCGAUAGUGAACCAGUACCGUGAGGGAAAGGCGAAAAGAACCCCGGCGAGGGGAGUGAAAAAGAACCUGAAACCGUGUACGUACAAGCAGUGGGAGCACCUUCGGGUGUGACUGCGUACCUUUUGUAUAAUGGGUCAGCGACUUAUAUUCUGUAGCAAGGUUAACCGUAUAGGGGAGCCGCAGGGAAACCGAGUCUUAACUGGGCGUUAAGUUGCAGGGUAUAGACCCGAAACCCGGUGAUCUAGCCAUGGGCAGGUUGAAGGUUGGGUAACACUAACUGGAGGACCGAACCGACUAAUGUUGAAAAAUUAGCGGAUGACUUGUGGCUGGGGGUGAAAGGCCAAUCAAACCGGGAGAUAGCUGGUUCUCCCCGAAAGCUAUUUAGGUAGCGCCUCGUGAAUUCAUCUUCGGGGGUAGAGCACUGUUUCGGCUAGGGGGUCAUCCCGACUUACCAACCCGAUGCAAACUACGAAUACCGAAGAAUGUUAUCACGGGAGACACACGGCGGGUGCUAACGUCCGUCGUGAAGAGGGAAACAACCCAGACCGCCAGCUAAGGUCCCAAAGUCAUGGUUAAGUGGGAAACGAUGUGGGAAGGCACAGACAGCCAGGAUGUUGGCUUAGAAGCAGCCAUCAUUUAAAGAAAGCGUAAUAGCUCACUGGUCGAGUCGGCCUGCGCGGAAGAUGUAACGGGGCUAAACCAUGCACCGAAGCUGCGGCAGCGACACUAUGUGUUGUUGGGUAGGGGAGCGUUCUGUAAGCCUGCGAAGGUGACCUGUGAGGGUUGCUGGAGGUAUCAGAAGUGCGAAUGCUGACAUAAGUAACGAUAAAGCGGGUGAAAAGCCCGCUCGCCGGAAGACCAAGGGUUCCUGUCCAACGUUAAUCGGGGCAGGGUGAGUCGACCCCUAAGGCGAGGCCGAAAGGCGUAGUCGAUGGGAAACAGGUUAAUAUUCCUGUACUUGGUGUUACUGCGAAGGGGGGACGGAGAAGGCUAUGUUAGCCGGGCGACGGUUGUCCCGGUUUAAGCAUGUAGGCUGAUUAUCCAGGCAAAUCCGGAUAAUCAAGGCUGAGGUGUGAUGACGAGGCACUACGGUGCUGAAGUAACAAAUGCCCUGCUUCCAGGAAAAGCCUCUAAGCAUCAGGUAACAUCAAAUCGUACCCCAAACCGACACAGGUGGUCAGGUAGAGAAUACCAAGGCGCUUGAGAGAACUCGGGUGAAGGAACUAGGCAAAAUGGUGCCGUAACUUCGGGAGAAGGCACGCUGGUGUGUAGGUGAAGCCCCUGCGGGUGGAGCUGAGACCAGUCGAAGAUACCAGCUGGCUGCAACUGUUUAUUAAAAACACAGCACUGUGCAAACACGAAAGUGGACGUAUACGGUGUGACGCCUGCCCGGUGCCGGAAGGUUAAUUGAUGGGGUUAUCCGUAAGGAGAAGCUCUUGAUCGAAGCCCCGGUAAACGGCGGCCGUAACUAUAACGGUCCUAAGGUAGCGAAAUUCCUUGUCGGGUAAGUUCCGACCUGCACGAAUGGCGUAAUGAUGGCCAGGCUGUCUCCACCCGAGACUCAGUGAAAUUGAACUCGCUGUGAAGAUGCAGUGUACCCGCGGCAAGACGGAAAGACCCCGUGAACCUUUACUAUAGCUUGACACUGAACAUUGAGCCUUGAUGUGUAGGAUAGGUGGGAGGCUUUGAAGCGUGGACGCCAGUCUGCGUGGAGCCAACCUUGAAAUACCACCCUUUAAUGUUUGAUGUUCUAACGUUGGCCCCUAAUCGGGGUUGCGGACAGUGUCUGGUGGGUAGUUUGACUGGGGCGGUCUCCUCCCAAAGCGUAACGGAGGAGCACGAAGGUUAGCUAAUCCUGGUCGGACAUCAGGAGGUUAGUGCAAUGGCAUAAGCUAGCUUGACUGCGAGCGUGACGGCGCGAGCAGGUGCGAAAGCAGGUCAUAGUGAUCCGGUGGUUCUGAAUGGAAGGGCCAUCGCUCAACGGAUAAAAGGUACUCCGGGGAUAACAGGCUGAUACCGCCCAAGAGUUCAUAUCGACGGCGGUGUUUGGCACCUCGAUGUCGGCUCAUCACAUCCUGGGGCUGAAGUAGGUCCCAAGGGUAUGGCUGUUCGCCAUUUAAAGUGGUACGCGAGCUGGGUUUAGAACGUCGUGAGACAGUUCGGUCCCUAUCUGCCGUGGGCGCUGGAGAAUUGAGGGGGGCUGCUCCUAGUACGAGAGGACCGGAGUGGACGCAUCACUGGUGUUCGGGUUGUCAUGCCAAUGGCACUGCCCGGUAGCUAAAUGCGGAAGAGAUAAGUGCUGAAAGCAUCUAAGCACGAAACUUGCCCCGAGAUGAGUUCUCCCUGAGACUUUAAGUCUCCUGAAGGAACGUUGAAGACGACGACGUUGAUAGGCCGGGUGUGUAAGCGCAGCGAUGCGUUGAGCUAACCGGUACUAAUGAACCGUGAGGCUUAACCUU